Bos taurus (domestic cattle) is the source of this 2177-nucleotide long non-coding RNA. The record is from Ensembl. NCBI's taxonomy places the organism in Eukaryota, Metazoa, Chordata, Mammalia, Artiodactyla, Bovidae.
UUUCAAGCUUAUUAUUUAUUCUUUAGUAUUUUGUUUAGCUCUUGAGAGUAUUUUUUUCUAUUUUUCUAAUUUGGAUAUUGCUAUAUAUAGAUUUCAGGCUCCCCAGGUGGCAAUGGUGAUAAAGAAUCUGCCUGCCAAUGCAGGAGACAGAAGAGAUGCAGGUUUGAUCCCUGGGUCAGGAGGAUCCCCUGGAGGAGGACAUGGCAACCCACUCCAGUAUUCUUGCCUAGAGAAUCCCAUGGUCAGAGGAGCCUGGUGGGCUGCAGUCCAUUUGAUGCACAGAGUCAGACAUGACUGAAGCCACUUAGCACGCACACACGCAUAUAUAGAUUUGACUUUUUUAUUGUGGUAAAAUAUAUAUAAGAUUUAUCAUUUUAACCAUUUUCAAGUGUAUAGUUCAAUGGCAUUAAGAAAAUGCACAUGCAAUUGACUUUAUUUUUUUUGCAAUUGACUUUUUAAAUAGUCAUAUAAAUCAGUCACUUUUCUGAAAACUCUUCAACAGGUCUUAUGUAUUUUCUUUUAUCCCCAAAGAGAAGUAUAACAUGCUAAUGAGAAUAAGGUUGUCUCCACUCGAAUACAAAUAUCUUGCUUUGAUGGUGGGGAGGGGCAGACUUCCAAAACCACGUUUAAUCAUUGUUUAGGAUAGUAUGCUUUCUUUUUUACAAAAAUUUCUUAAUAUUUAUUUUUGGCUGUGUUGGGUCUUAUAGUUGUGGCUCAUGGGCUUAGCUGGCCCGAGGCAUGUGGGAUCGAACGUGAGUCCUCGGCACUGGAAGUCUGUCUUAACCACUGGAUCAGGGAAGUCCCAGUGAGGUCCAAUCUUAGUGAUCGGUCUAGUAGCCAGGUGAGGCUUUGGGGCAGAUCCUGGAGAGCGCAUGGUCUUGUGGGGUACCUGCCUCCUUCGAGGCUUCUGCGUGGUCUUCAGGUCGUGGGGGUGGGAUGGGAGCGGGCCUCUUCUACAGGCCCCAGAGCUUCAGAUGAGUCUGAGGUUCUACCACUUAGGUUUUCAUCCUUAGUCUCAGGGUCCCACCUCUUCCUUAUCAGAGCCCUGACUGUGGUGUUGGCGAGUAACCAUGACUAAGAAGUUGACCAUUUCUAAAGUUCAGCUCCUUUUUAAAAAAAUUAUUUUUAAUGUAUUUAUGGCUGUGCUGGGUCUUCGUUGCUGUGUGAAGGCUUUCUCUAGUUGUGGCGAGCAGGGGCUACUUUCUGGUUGCGGUGCUCCGGCUUCUCACCGUGGUGGCUUCUCUUGUUGCCGAGCACAGGCUCUAGAGCACGGGCCUCAGUAGCUGUGGAAACGCCGGCUUAGUUGCCCCGCAGCACAUGGAGUCUUCCGGGCAGGGAUCAAACCCACGUGCCCUGUUCUGGCAGGCGGAUACUCAACCACUGGACCACCAGGGAAGUCCCAAAGUUUUAGCUCCUUUUCUGUGAGCCUGAGCCUGGUCCUCAGAACUCUCUGCCCUCUGACUGCAGGUGACUGCUGCUUAACAGGCUGCUAAGCAGAUCCUUCUGGCUUUGCUGUAUAUUGGUUAAGAGAGUGCCUAGAGGCAGUUGUUUUGCCUCUUUCAAGCAUCAGUAGCCACCUAAUUUCUGUUUUAAAAAAUUUCCCCCACGUCCUCAAACACCAGAGAGAUUGAAUAAGCCAAUGCACCCCCAUCUACCACUCUCCCAUCCACCUCCCCCAAGAUAAUGGUCAUCACACAGCUGUCAGCAUCCUAGUAAGCACCUGAAAUCCUAUCCUUAGACUCUGCUUCUUAGGACCACACCGGGUACCAACUCUUUUAAGCUGAGCCACGGAGAAGCAGGGCUUGAGACAAUUCCAGUGCCUGCAUUUCAUGGAGGGGGAGUGUUUGGGGAGAAAGGGAAUGGAGGAAGGACGGUCAGGAAAAGGAGUUAAGUAAGGAUGCAGUCUCAGGGAGAUGAGCUUGCUUCUGAUUUCAUUGGCUCUGGAAUGGCAACUGUAUCCUAAGGUUGGUCACUGUUUGAGGCAAGGUCUUUCUGAACCCUACAUCAAGUGAGCCACUGGCCUAGGCUAAAAGGGGGAGGUAUGUGGGCUUAACUUGCCCACGAGACAGCCCCGCAUCAGCCAAGAACAGCUGUCAGAACUGGGUAACUCUGCGUUCUUAGCGGCCAACACACAGAGCAGCUGGGAGUGGUUGGGCAAUAACAGCACCCACCACAGG